RNAcentral lists this ribosomal RNA (255 nucleotides) under uncultured bacterium. RNAcentral describes it as "partial 16S ribosomal RNA". It matches the Rfam family "Bacterial small subunit ribosomal RNA", at positions 524 to 776 of the family's 1533-position model. The record is from RNAcentral.
UACGAAGGGGGCUAGCGUUGUUCGGAAUCACUGGGCGUAAAGCGCACGUAGGCGGAUCUUUAAGUCAGAGGUGAAAUCCCAAGGCUCAACCUUGGAACUGCCUUUGAUACUGGGGAUCUUGAGUCCGGGAGAGGUGAGUGGAACUCCGAGUGUAGAGGUGAAAUUCGUAGAUAUUCGGAAGAACACCAGUGGCGAAGGCGACUCACUGGCCCGUUACUGACGCUGAGGCGGCGAAAAGCGUGGGGAGCAAACAGG